AAAGAACCGUGAAUUACAGUUGAAAUUGUAGAUUUCGUACAUGACAAUAAUUUGCUCGAGCAUCACUUUCAUGAUUUUGUGGUCUGUGUUGCCGUAUUUGAGAGCAUACAUUUCAUGUUCGAAAUCUACGAUUUUAACUCUAAUUUUUGGAUGGUUCUUUAUUUCAAUUACAGAGGGAU
This is a non-coding RNA of Arabidopsis thaliana (thale cress), 179 nucleotides long. The record is from RefSeq. Lineage: Eukaryota; Viridiplantae; Streptophyta; Magnoliopsida; Brassicales; Brassicaceae.